RNAcentral lists this transfer RNA (74 nucleotides) under 'Brassica napus' phyllody phytoplasma. Its description in RNAcentral is "tRNA-Ile". It matches the Rfam family "tRNA". From Rfam's summary of the family: Transfer RNA (tRNA) molecules are approximately 80 nucleotides in length. Their secondary structure includes four short double-helical elements and three loops (D, anti-codon, and T loops). Further hydrogen bonds mediate the characteristic L-shaped molecular structure. tRNAs have two regions of fundamental functional importance: the anti-codon, which is responsible for specific mRNA codon recognition, and the 3' end, to which the tRNAs corresponding amino acid is attached (by aminoacyl-tRNA synthetases). tRNAs cope with the degeneracy of the genetic code in two manners: having more than one tRNA (with a specific anti-codon) for a particular amino acid; and 'wobble' base-pairing, i.e. permitting non-standard base-pairing at the 3rd anti-codon position. The record is from RNAcentral. RNAcentral also lists the same sequence under 1 other name. Lineage: Bacteria; Bacillati; Mycoplasmatota; Mollicutes; Acholeplasmatales; Acholeplasmataceae.
UUAAGGGCCUAUAGCUCAGUUGGUUAGAGCACACGCCUGAUAAGCGUGAGGUCGGUGGUUCAAGUCCAUUUAGG